GAUGAAGAACGCAGCGAAAUGCGAUAAGUAAUGUGAAUUGCAGAAUUCAGUGAAUCAUCGAAUCUUUGAACGCACAUUGCGCCCACUAGUAUUCUGGUGGGCAUGCCUGUUCGAGCGUCAUUUCAACCCUCAAGCCUGGCUUGGUGUUGGGGCUCUGCGUCUGCAGUCCCUUAAAUCCAGUGGCGGACACGCUAGGUCUCCGAGCGCAGUAGUUUCUUCUCGCUUCGGGCGGCCGGCGUGGGCUUGCCUCGCACCCAAUUUACACAAAGGUUGACCUCGGAUCAGGUAGGAAUACCCGCUGAACUUAAGCAUAUCAAUAAGCGGAGGA
RNAcentral lists this unclassified non-coding RNA (328 nucleotides) under soil metagenome. RNAcentral's name for it is "partial contains 5.8S ribosomal RNA, internal transcribed spacer 2, and large subunit ribosomal RNA". The stretch from base 1 to 120 matches the Rfam family "5.8S ribosomal RNA", at positions 35 to 154 of the family's 154-position model. The record is from RNAcentral.